Molecule: unclassified non-coding RNA, 500 nt
Filed under: Hevea brasiliensis (rubber tree)
Lineage: Eukaryota; Viridiplantae; Streptophyta; Magnoliopsida; Malpighiales; Euphorbiaceae
Source: RNAcentral
GUGCAUCAGCCUGUAAUAAGGCGAGCAACGUUUGAUACCUCAGGUUUUUACUGCAUGUCAAAAAUCUAUGUUGCAGGCGGGAUGGCAUGGGCUCAAUUGGAUUGACAUGGAUAUGAACUACAUCAUUCUUGGUCCAUUUCUGCUGUAUGCAGUCAUGCAGAAAUCGUCUGUGCUGAGGGAUGGAUGCACUGGCAAAAACAGUCCGACGGUUAUUGCAUGAUGAAUAUGAUGUCAAAAGCUUUCGCAGAGAACUGACUUGUUUUGAAGAGUUGAACAUGAAAUCCACCUCAUCAAUAACCAGCACCUGCAUUGCUUCAAGUUUAAAUAUAUGCUUUUCAAGCAUUUGGCACAAACUUGCUAUUGUUGCCACUACUAUUGUAGGGGGUUCUGCCUUUAGCCAACUCUUAUGUCUUCUCAACAUCCCUCCAUCGAGAAGAGCCAUGACGGUAAUAUCCAUGGGCUUCGCAGCCAACAUCCUAGCAACUUUCGUAACUUGCAUU